AGCAAUUUAGAUGGAACGUGACUCUUCUUGGUUGGCACCCCCUCUGGUUCUAUAAAUAGGAGGUGGCAGAUAGGUUGAUAACUUAAUUCUUACAAAACCUUAUCCACUCUCUCUCUCUCUCUCUUACAACUUUAGUUCUUUUAGGACAAGGUUUAUUCUUUUAAGACAAACCUAUUCCUAUUAGGGCAAAGGGUUUAAGAUGUCCUAAAGAAAGAGGUCAAGGCUAGGAGGAGGUUCUAAAAGGUCCAGACUCAGAUCUAGAGGAGGGUCUAAUCAGUUUGAGGCUGGUCGAGUAAUAAGAGUUAGAACUCUUGAAGCA
RNAcentral lists this long non-coding RNA (319 nucleotides) under Elaeis guineensis (African oil palm). Its description in RNAcentral is "long non-coding RNA (EGUI_LNC017326)". The record is from RNAcentral. Lineage: Eukaryota; Viridiplantae; Streptophyta; Magnoliopsida; Arecales; Arecaceae.